AUCCAAACGUCUUCAUCGUGCUCUAGAAGCUAUGUCUGCAAAUGCUGCUGAAGAAGGUCAGGCAAGUGCUGAUAUAUCAACCUUGAAAACAUUAAUAAAUGGCAGUUCCACCUCUUCAAUGGAGAACUCCUCUGACAAGUUUGUUGAUCGAAAAGAAAGUGAUGGUUCUGGGGAGCCAAAUGUAGAGUCUCCUGGCUGUAGGGCCUCUGCA
RNAcentral lists this unclassified non-coding RNA (211 nucleotides) under Hevea brasiliensis (rubber tree). The record is from RNAcentral. Lineage: Eukaryota; Viridiplantae; Streptophyta; Magnoliopsida; Malpighiales; Euphorbiaceae.